UUGUGUACUAAUAAUUUUGUUUUUUUUUUUCUAUUUUUAAUUUUUUUUUGUAUUUUUUUUUUUUUUUUUAAAUGUCUAUAUAUAAAUUAAAACAAAUAGUACAAUGUAUCAUACCCUUGGUUUGUCAACUUUUUUAAAGUAAAAAAAAAAUUAACAAAAUGAAGAAUGGUAAAUCGAAGAAUAGUGUCAAAAAGAAAAAAGGGGUGUACAUUGUAAAAAAUCAAAAACAAAACGAAAACUAUAAUGAAAACCAAAGCGAAAACUAUAAUGAAAACCAAAGCGAAAACGAAAACCAAAGCGAAAACGAAAACCAAAACGAAAACCAAAACCAUAGCAAAAACCAAAACCAUAGCAAAAACCAAAACCAUAGCAAAAACCAAAAUAAUAACAAUAAAAUUUUAAACAAAAGUAAUGAUAAAUUAAAUGAAGAAUGUCAAUUAAAUAAUACUUUAAACAAAAUAAAGAAAAAUAAAAAUAAUCAUUAUAAUGAUAAAACUUUUAAAAAUAAAAUAAUAAAAGAAUCUAUAAAUAAAAAUGAAUGUUCUACUAAUGUUGUAGUAGAACUGGGAGUCAAUAGUAUAGCUGUUCAUACAUCUGAUUUGGUAAAAAAAAAUGGUAAUAAUAAUAGUAUCAAUAAUAAUAGUAUCAAUAAUAAUAGUAUCAAUAAUAAUAGUAUCAAUAAUAAUAGCAAUAAUAUUAGUAACAAAAUAAUCACAAUUCAUAAUAAUUUUAAUAAACUAAACAAUGUGAAUAGUGAUAACUAUGUAUGUACAGACCAAGUAAAGCAAUUGACUAAAAUUAAUAGCUUAGGUAAUAAUAAAAGUAAAACAAAACAUAAGAAUAUUAAUAAUUGUUAUCAGUCUACCAAUAGUACUGGCUUAGAUAAUGAUAGUGCGCAACAUACUAGCAUUCCUGCUACUACUGCUACCAUCUAUUAUAGUAAUAAUAAUAAUAUUAAUGGUAUAACUACCGUCACAACUAACAACAGUACUAGUAAUACUCCAACUGCUACUAUUGUUACAACUAAUAAUAACAACGACAAUAAAAAUAAUGCUUACAAAACUGCAUAUGUGCAGAAUGGUAUUUAUGAUAACAAGAAAGAAUAUAUAAUUAAUGCGUCAUCAUAUAUAGACAAAAAUGCACCAACUGAUGUAAACAGUCAAGUAACUAAUAAAAAUAUUAUUGAAGAAAAUGGUAUAUAUUUAUCGGCUAAUAUGAGUAUGAAUGAAACAACAAGUAAUAAAGAUAUCCGUACUGAUAAUAAUAACUACAGUAGUUGCGAUAAGGAUGGGAAUAAUGACAAUAACACUAAAAACAUUAGUUAUAGUAACAAUACAUGUGUCCAUCGCGAAUGGGAUGAUAUUAAUACGGACUCAGAAACUGGUUCUAAUAAAAGUAUAAAGUGUGAGAGCAUUAGUAAUACAAAUCAUAAAAAAUAUAAAAUUACAUCGGAAUCUAUUUAUAACAUAGGCUUAAGAAAUAAUAAAAAAAAUAAUACAGUCCAUAGCAAUAGUAAUAGUUAUAAUAGCGACCUACAUAAUGAUAUCAUAAAAAGGUUAAGCAAAAAUGUAAUAAAAAAACAAUAUGUAAAAGAAAAAUAUGACCACACAAAAAAAAACAAAAUAAAAAAAAAACAAAAAUUAAGUAAUAUUAUUUUAAAUAAUGGCUUAAAUAAUAAUACAAAUAAUUUAACAAAGAUUUUUUCAAAAGAAUUAAACACAUCUAUUUUAAUCAAUCAAAAUAAGGAAAAAGAAACAUAUGCAAAUAAUAACGCGAUUGAAAAUAUAAAUGUUAAUAAUAUCUGUAAAAAUCCUGAAUUCAUAAUAAUUGAAAAGAAACACACUGCUAAUGACCAAAACUAUAAAACUGAUAAUGACAAAAACGAUAAAACUGAUAAUGACAAAAACNNNNNNNNNNACAAAAACGAUAAAACUGAUAAUGACAAAAACGAUAAAACUGAUAAUAAUAUAAAUAGUGAAAUCGAAAAUUGUGAAUAUAGAUGUAUGAAUAGUAAUACAAAUGAAGACAUUGAAGGUAAUAAUAAACAAAUGAAAAAAAAAAACGACUUAUAUGACAUGGAAACAAAAUUAAACGAUUAUAACAACAGUGGUAUUAAUAGAAGCAGUAAUAGCAAUAGUAGUAAUAUAGAUGUUCAUAAAAAAGUGGAAAAUACGUUUAUGGUUAAAACAAUUAAUAAAAAUGAGCACGAAAAUAAAAAAGAUCUUUUUAAUGUCUGCAACGAUAUGUGCAUUAAUGAUAAUUACAGUGUAGAAAGUGGUGCGGAAAAUGGUAGACAUAAUGGUAGACAUCAUAGCAUAGACAACGGCUUUGGUAGUGAGAGGCAACAUUAUGAAACAGAAAAAUAUAACACCCAUUUGAACAACACUACACAAUGUACAAACAUGGACGAAGAAAGAACAGAUUUAUAUUAUAAAAAUAAUUAUUUUGAAAAAUUAGUUGAAGACCUUAAAAAUAUGAGUAAAAAUGAAGCAAAUGAUGAUUAUUUAACGGAGAAUGAAAAAAUUAAACACUUGAUUGCAUUUCGAGAUAAUGCUAAGAAUUAUAUACAAAGUUAUAUUAAUUCUUUUUUAAAAGAUUUUAAUAUAUUGUAUUCAUAUCUAC
RNAcentral lists this long non-coding RNA (2622 nucleotides) under Piliocolobus tephrosceles (Ugandan red Colobus). Its description in RNAcentral is "lncRNA (ENSPTEG00000001417.1)". Lineage: Eukaryota; Metazoa; Chordata; Mammalia; Primates; Cercopithecidae. The record is from RNAcentral.